CUCCUACGGGAGGCAGCAGCCGCGGUAAUACGUAGGAUCCGAGCGUUAUCCGGAUUUAUUGGGCUUAAAGGGAGCGUAGAUGGGUUGUUAAGUCAGUUGUGUAAGUUUGCGGCUCAACCGUAAAAUUGCAAUUGAUACUGGCGUCCUUGAGUACAGUUGAGGUGGGCGGAAUUCGUGGUGUAGCGGUGAAAUGCUUAGAUAUCACGAAGAACUCCUAUUGCGAAGGCAGCUCACUAAACUGCAACUGACAUUGAGGCUCGAAAGUGUGGGUAUCAAACAGGAUUAGAAACCCCUGUAGUCCCAAA
RNAcentral lists this ribosomal RNA (305 nucleotides) under uncultured bacterium. Its description in RNAcentral is "bacterial SSU rRNA". It matches the Rfam family "Bacterial small subunit ribosomal RNA", at positions 498 to 799 of the family's 1533-position model. The record is from RNAcentral.